ACUGUGAAACCUCGACGCCAGUUGGGGCGGAGUCGUUGUUGAAAUACCACUCUGAUCGUAUUGGGCAUCUAACCUCGAACCCUGAAUCGGGUUUAGGGACAGUGCCUGGCGGGUAGUUUAACUGGGGCGGUUGCCUCCUAAAAUGUAACGGAGGCGCCCAAAGGUUCCCUCAACCUGGACGGCAAUCAGGUGGCGAGUGUAAAUGCACAAGGGAGCUUGACUGCGAGACUUACAAGUCAAGCAGGGACGAAAGUCGGGAUUAGUGAUCCGGCACCCCCGAGUGGAAGGGGUGUCGCUCAACGGAUAAAAGGUACCCCGGGGAUAACAGGCUGAUCUUCCCCAAGAGUCCAUAUCGACGGGAUGGUUUGGCACCUCGAUGUCGGCUCGUCGCAUCCUGGGGCUGGAGCAGGUCCCAAGGGUUGGGCUGUUCGCCCAUUAAAGCGGCACGCGAGCUGGGUUUAGAACGUCGUGAGACAGUUCGGUCUCUAUCCGCCGCGCGCGUCAGAAACUUGAGGAAACCUGUCCCUAGUACGAGAGGACCGGGACGGACGAACCUCUGGUGCACCAGUUGUCCCGCCAGGGGCACCGCUGGAUAGCCACGUUCGGUCAGGAUAACCGCUGAAAGCAUCUAAGCGGGAAACCUUCUCCAAGAUCAGGUUUCUCACCCACUUGGUGGGAUAAGGCCCCCCGCAGAACACGGGUUCAAUAGGUCAGACCUGGAAGCUCAGUAAUGGGUGUAGGGAACUGGUGCUAACCGGCCGAAAACUUACAACA
Molecule: ribosomal RNA, 774 nt
Filed under: Mycobacterium tuberculosis
Lineage: Bacteria; Bacillati; Actinomycetota; Actinomycetes; Mycobacteriales; Mycobacteriaceae
Description: bacterial LSU rRNA
Rfam family: Bacterial large subunit ribosomal RNA
Source: RNAcentral